Molecule: ribosomal RNA, 222 nt
Filed under: uncultured bacterium
Lineage: Bacteria
Description: partial 16S ribosomal RNA
Rfam family: Bacterial small subunit ribosomal RNA
Source: RNAcentral
UACGUAGGGUGCGAGCGUUAAUCGGAAUUACUGGGCGUAAAGCGUGCGCAGGCGGUUUUGUAAGCCAGAUGUGAAAUCCCCGGGCUUAACCUGGGAAUGGCAUUUGGGACUGCAAGGCUUGAGUGCGGCAGAGGAGACUGGAAUUCCUGGUGUAGCAGUGAAAUGCGUAGAUAUCAGGAGGAACAUCGAUGGCGAAGGCAGGUCUCUGGGCUGAACACUGAC